GUCGAACGCUGGCGGCGUGCUUAACACAUGCAAGUCGAGCGAGCGGCGGACGGGUGAGUAAUGUCUGGGCAACUGCCUGAUGGAGGGGGAUAACUACUGGAAACGGUAGCUAAUACCGCAUACCAUCCGAUUUGCCCAGAUGGGAUUAGCUCGUGUGUGGGGUACGGGCUCACCUAGGCGACGCUCCCUCGCUGGUCUGAGAGGAUGAACAGCCACACUGGAACUGAGACACGGUCCAGACGCCUACGGUAGGCAGCAGUGGGGAAUAUUGCACAAUGGGCGCAAGCCUGAUGCAGCCAUGCCGCGUGUGUGAAGAAGGCCUUCGGGUUGUAAAGCACUUUCAGCGAGGAGGCGUUACUCGCAGAAGAAGCACCGGCUAACUCCGUGCCAGCAGCCGCGGUAAUUC
RNAcentral lists this ribosomal RNA (406 nucleotides) under uncultured bacterium. Its description in RNAcentral is "partial 16S ribosomal RNA". It matches the Rfam family "Bacterial small subunit ribosomal RNA", at positions 28 to 526 of the family's 1533-position model. The record is from RNAcentral.